CACUGAUGACGUCAUCCGACGGCGCCGAUCCACGGAAUCAUUUAGCGCCGGCUGAGUGCACACAUGGGGCUUCUUCCACACUGUAAAGCUUCCACUGUUCCCAUGGUGAUGGGUCACUUUACAUAAAAUUCCACGCCCCCCUCUGACGCUGGGUCGCCGGCGCUGGCCAGCGCCAAUGACGUCAUCGGGUCUCUGCGGGCGCCGUGGACGGACUGUACACGCGGUGUUUGUUUCCACGGCAUUAAGCAGUCACCUGGAGGACGCAAUUUGCAGCGCUCACAGCCGUCAGUGAUACUAAGCGCUACACUGAAUAACGGCUGAAAGGUUUGCUUUGCAGAACUGCGAUCCCGUUAUUAGAGCGAGAAGUCACCAGGGGACUCCGAGAGUCGCUGACUGUGUCCGCCGAAGCGUCAGCUGCUCGAAGGAAAAACUUUUCAUUUUAUUAAGAAUAAUA
Pseudophryne corroboree (corroboree frog) is the source of this 454-nucleotide long non-coding RNA. RefSeq lists it as uncharacterized. The record is from RefSeq and is a predicted model, not a curated record. Lineage: Eukaryota; Metazoa; Chordata; Amphibia; Anura; Myobatrachidae. The transcript has 3 exons.